GAGUGUACAAGGUGAUGGACUUCGAAAAAAAGGAAAACACCGAAAAGGACAUGUUAAAUACCUUAAUAAGAUUAAUUAUAAAAUUGAGACCUAAAACAUCAGUCAAGGAAUAGAAAGCCAUAGAAGGUCGGAGCUGAGUGGUGACUGUUGAGUGCUCACUUAGGUCUGUUUAGUUUUCUAUUUGGGCCAAAAAAAAAGAUUUUGGCCUACCGUCCUGCAGAAUGAAAUUAAGGGCUUGUUUAGCAUCUUCAAGAGUUUGCUAAAUUUUCCUAAAACAUAUGCCAAGUAAAAAAUCAGUCUAUCUCCAAGAGUUUGGCAAUUUUGGCUUGGCAAAAUUAAAAAAAAGACCUACAAACUAAUCUUAUUCCACAUGUACUGUUUCUAUUUGAGAGUGGCAGUGCUCAGCAUCAGCAGUGCUCAGCAGCGGUGCUCGCAACAGUGCAAUCAAUUCCCAUGUCAUUUUCAACACAGCAGCAGGAGGAGUCAGGCCUUGUUUAGUUCCGAAAACUGAAAAGUUUUCAGAACUGUAGCACUUUCGUUUAUUUGUGAUGAGAGGAGUCAUGCAGAUUCUCGCAGAUGAGCAGCAGCUGUCCAAUCUGAGCACGGGAAUGCAGCAUCAGCUGUCCAAUCAGAGCACGGAAAGAGGACACACGAGGCGUGGGAAGAGGCGACGUCGGACUUCGCGAUGCCAAGUCUGAUACGCGCGCGUAUCUUUGCGCGCUAGGAGAAGAAAUAUGCCAAGUUCUUACUUUUAGCAAGUUGAGAUACCAAAUUGUUGGAGAAUGUUUUUUUAUGUUUUGCUAAAAAUUUAUGAAUACCAAGUUAAGAUA
Sorghum bicolor (sorghum) is the source of this 830-nucleotide long non-coding RNA. RefSeq lists it as uncharacterized. The transcript is spliced from 2 exons. NCBI's taxonomy places the organism in Eukaryota, Viridiplantae, Streptophyta, Magnoliopsida, Poales, Poaceae. The record is from RefSeq and is a predicted model, not a curated record.